UCGGGUUGUAAAGCACUUUUGUCCGGAAAGAAAACACGUGCCCUAAUACGGUGUGUGGAUGACGGUACCGGAAGAAUAAGCACCGGCUAACUACGUGCCAGCAGCCGCGGUAAUACGUAGGGUGCGAGCGUUAAUCGGAAUUACUGGGCGUAAAGCGUGCGCAGGCGGUUUGCUAAGACCGAUGUGAAAUCCCCGGGCUCAACCUGGGAACUGCAUUGGUGACUGGCAGGCUAGAGUAUGGCAGAGGGGGGUAGAAUUUCCACGUGUAGCAGUGAAAUGCGUAGAGAUGUGGAGGAAUACCGAUGGCGAAGGCAGCCCCUGGGCCAAUACUGACGCUCAUGCACGAAAGCGUGGGGAGCAAACAGGAUUAGAUACCCUGGUAGUCCACGCCCUAAACGAUGUCAACUAGUUGUUGGGGAUUCAUUUCCUUAGUAACGUAGCUAACGCGUGAAGUUGACCGCCUGGGGAGUACGGUCGCAAGAUUAAAACUCAAAGGAAUUGACGGGGACCCGCACAAGCGGUGGAUGAUGUGGAUUAAUUCGAUGCAACGCGAAAAACCUUACCUACCCUUGACAUGGUCGGAAUCCUGCUG
This 592-nucleotide ribosomal RNA is filed under the name uncultured Burkholderia sp. RNAcentral's name for it is "bacterial SSU rRNA". It matches the Rfam family "Bacterial small subunit ribosomal RNA", at positions 418 to 1003 of the family's 1533-position model. Lineage: Bacteria; Pseudomonadati; Pseudomonadota; Betaproteobacteria; Burkholderiales; Burkholderiaceae. The record is from RNAcentral.